The submitters of this non-coding RNA (63 nucleotides) gave its source as unclassified sequences. The record is from Rfam.
ACAAUGAUACUUCUGAACGUUCAGGCUGCCGUCGUAAAAGAGCAGUAAGUGAGAUUCUUAUGA